Non-coding RNA from Desulfobulbus sp. Tol-SR, 163 nucleotides. The record is from Rfam. Lineage: Bacteria; Pseudomonadati; Thermodesulfobacteriota; Desulfobulbia; Desulfobulbales; Desulfobulbaceae.
GUCUCCACCAGGAGGGGCCUGAAGGAAUCCGGAGCGCAACGCUAUGAGCCGACAGAGGGAACGGCAUACAAGGUCAUCCUCCGGGCAAGUCAGCACAACAUGACGAAGCCAUCGAUUCAGGAGAAGUCGGAAAUGCCGCGGCUGUGCAGCCACAGUUCAAGAA